UGUUACUUACAUUUUUUAUUUAAUAUAUGUUGAACAUUUAUUAAUUAGAAAAUAAUACACGGUCACUGUAAAAGUUUUAAAUAAUAGAGAAAUAGAAUAAAAAGCCCCAAAUCCUUCAAUUUUAUUUUCUUCUCCUUGUUCAACACUUCCACCUUUCAUUCUCCCACUCCAUAGUCACGUACUCUUUCCAGUGUGAACUACUGUUUGUUUCAUACGCUUCUGGACUUCCUUCUAUCAAUUUACACGCACAUACACACACACACACCAUUUUUAACUUAAGUGAGAUGUCAUGAAAUUACACAAAUAUAUUCAACAAUCUUUUUUCACUUAAUAUUAGAGGCAUUAUUUCAUGUUGGUAUAUAUAUAUAAAUAUCUACAUCAGUUUUUAAAAUGCUGCAGCGUGUUUCAUGCCAUGAAUCUGCCGUAACUUCUUUAAGGAUUCACCUCCUGAAUCUAUAUGCUAUUCCAUGUGCUUAAUAUGAAACAAUAACGGAGUAAACCUUCACUCAUAACUUUUCACGCAUCAAUACUUUUGUAGGAAAGAUUGUUGGAGUCAAAAUUACUGGGUCAAAUUACCAAUUAUAUGCCCACUGGCACAUAUCCACAUGUCUAUCUGUGCACACUCCUCCCAAACUGGAUAUAACUAAUCUCUUCACUCCUGCUACUCUGGCUCGCAAAAACACCCGGUUUAACUUGUAUUUCCCUGAUGGAUAAUAAAGUGGCACAUCUUCCUCAUAUAUUUUUUGGCCACUGUGUUUCAUUUAUGAGCUGCAUGUAUUUAUCCUUUGCUUAUUGAUUUUUUUUUUGGAAGAUUAGCCCUGAGCUAACAUCUGCGCCAAUCCUCCUCUUUUUGCUGAGGAAGACUGGCCCUGAGCUAACAUCCGCACCCAUCUUUUUCCACUUUAUACGUGGGAUGCCUGCCACAGCAUGCCAGCGGACCCCGGGCUGCCAAAGCGGAAUGUGUGAACUUACCCGCUGCACCACCAGGCUGGCCCCCUAUCCUUUGCUUAUUUUCCUUUGCUUUUUUAAAUCUCAAAUUUAAAACAGUCAAGUUUCAAAAUUCAAAAGGUAGAAAGGGAUAUACAAUGAAGUCUCACUCCCACCCGUCUCCUAGCCACUCAUUCCCCUUCUCAGAGGUAGCCAAAGAAAGAGACUAGCUUUUAUAGUUUCAGUUUUUAUAGUACAGUGCAUAUAGAAGGAAACGCAUAUAUAAGGAAAAUGUACACAUAUCUUCUCUUUUUACCCAAACGAUAGCAUGCUCUCCAGUGUUUACCCUGUUUUUACUUUUUUUAAAACAUAUUUGGAGCUUAUUUCUUCUCAGUAAAAAGAAAGCUGCCUCAUUCUUUUUGAUGGUGUUAUUUAACCAAUCCUCCACGGAUGGACAUUGAAUUUGCAUUCCGAUUUGGGCUAUUACAAAGAAUCAUGUAAUUAAUGCUUUAGCAUAAGUGGGAAUAUAUCCCUAGGAUAAAUUCCUGGAAGUGGAAUUGCUGGGUCAAAGCACAUACCCGUUGGUGAUUUUGACAGAUGUUUCUAAAUUUGCCUUCCACAGGGGUCACCAAUUUACAUGUCCCAAUAGGACACACGAGAGAGUGCUGGUUUACACAAAUCCUUGCUCACAGGGAGUAGCAACACUUCCACAUAUCUGGUUUGCUAUCUCACUGUAGGUCAACUGGCAUCUCUCUUACUAUGACUGAGGUUUAUCAUCUCAAAGGCCUAUGAAGCAUUUGCAUUUCCUUUCCUGUGAACUCUGUCCAUAUAUUUGGCCCUUUUGCUGGCAGUUUGUUCUUUUUCUUAGGAUUUGUAGGAACAUUUAUAUUAGAGAAUUCUGCUCUUGUCUGUGUAAGGGAAAACAUACUUCCUCCUGUUUCUUCUCUACUCUCAAUUCUCUACUACAACACUACUUCACUUCUGGCAUCAGAUGUGUGGGUUUUCCACACGUACAACAAUUCUGCAACAUCAAGUGGGUGUCCUACAAUUUAACUCAAUUCUGAAACCAUCUACCUGGAGAUAGUGUCAGAUCCCACAGGUUAAGGGUUCAGUCCUACAAGACUGCCACCCUCACCCACACACACAUUUCUGAAGCCAACUGCAAGUCCUGUUUGCUACCUGUGAUUCCCAGGACCCCUUCCUUGGGUUCGAUUAAUUUCCUAGAGCGGCUCACAGAACUCAGGAAAACGUUUUACUUACUAAAUUACCAGUUUAUUAUAAAGGGAUGUAACAGGAACAGCCAGAUGGAAGAGAAGCAUAAGGCAAGGUAUGGGGAAGGGAUGCAGAGCUUCCAUGCCUCCUCUGGGCACGCCAGCCUCUCUCCAUCUCCAGAUGUUCACCAGGAACACCUGGAGGCUCUCCAAACCCCAUCCUUUGGGGUUUCUAUGGAGGCUUCAUCACACAGGCAUGACUGAUUGGACCACUGUCCAUGGCUAACUGCUUCAACCUCCAGCCUCCUCCUCUCUCCCCUCCCUGGGGAUGGUGGAAGAGGGGCUGUAAGUUCCAACACUCUCAUCGUAUGGCUGGUUCUCCUGGCAACCAACCCCAUCCUUAAGGACUUUUCCAAAAGUCACCUCAUUAACAGAAACUCGAGUGUGGUUGAAAGGGGCUUACUAUGAACAACUCUCCUUUUGGUGUUAUGGCUCUGGAGCUAUUUCAGGAAUUGAUGACAAAAGACCAAACAUUACAUCAAAAGAUGCUCCCAUUGCUCGUAUCACUUAGGAAAUUCCAAGGGUUUUAGGAGCUCUGUGCCAAAUACAUAUUUAUUAUAAAUCACAAUAUCACAGUCUGUGAAAUGAAUUGUAAAUAUUUUUUACCCAGUUCCUUAUUUGUUUUAUAACUUUUGUCUUGUUCAUCUUAUAACUGUGUUUGCCAAGGGGAAAUUUUGAUUUUUAUGUAGUUAAAUAUACCAGGCUUUUCAUUUAUGGCUUCUGUGCAAUCUUAGAAAGAGUUCCCUCACUGAAAUGAUUUUAAAAACCUCUCCUAUUGUUUAUUCUAAUACUUUAAUAGUCUCAUUUUAAACAGUGAAAUCUUUGAAUCAGCUAGGGUUUAGGAGAGAUGCACUGUCAGGGAGAGAUAUAACCUAAGUUUUUUCCCCUUGAUGCUGUGCCCAGUUGUCUUAAGACCAUUUACGGAAUGAGCUAACUUUUCUGUGAUUUGAAAUGUCACCUUUUUUAUACCAAAUUCCUAUAUAUAGUUUGGUUUAUUUCUGUAUUUCCUAUUUUGUUUCAUUGAGCUGAUUAUUCAUGAACAUUAUCUCACUGUUUUAAUUAUUACUGUUAUUACAAUAUGCCUAACACCUUAUAGCAUUAGUCCUUUCAUAGGUCGAUUAACUGAGGGAGAACCGCCAGCUUUGUGAUGUAAGUUUCUAGUCGAGGACAUGUCAAGCCUUUUUAAGUCUUCUUUCGCAUCCUUCAGUAGUGUUUUUAACUUUUCUUCAGAAAGAUCUGGGUAUUUCAUCUUUUUUGUUGUUAUAAAUGAGGCCUUUUCUUCAAUUGUAUCUUCUAACUGGCAGUGGUUUGUAUUAAGCAACGGAUUUUUAUAUACUAACUUUGCACCCAGCCACCUCACUGAAUUCUCUUAUUUCUGUAUUUUUUGUAAGAGUUUUUCCAGUAGGUUCCUCUGGAGUUAUUUGUGGACUCAAUCAUAUUAUCUGCAAAUAACAAUAACUCUGUCAUUCCCUUGUCAAUCUAGAUAGCUCCACAUUCUUUUUCUAAUGCUUUGUUGGAACCUCCAGAACAGUCAGGGGGGACACACACAUCUUGUUCCCGAUGUUAAUGGGAACAUGUCUGAUGUUUCCUACUAACUGUGUUUUCUGUUGCAUUCUUUCUUUUGAAAAGAAAUUCUUACAUAUGAAUGCUUGACUCUGAUAUUCGAAAUAUUCUCCCAUACUAUUAGGCUUAGUCUUAAUUUUGUAUAUGGUACUGAACAUCUAUGUCAGUAUAUAGAGACACACAUUCUUUUUUUUAUUUUUAAAGAUUGGCACCUGAGCUAACAACUGUUGCCAAUCUUCUUUU
RNAcentral lists this long non-coding RNA (4004 nucleotides) under Equus caballus (horse). RNAcentral's name for it is "lncRNA (ENSECAG00000047295.1)". The record is from RNAcentral. Lineage: Eukaryota; Metazoa; Chordata; Mammalia; Perissodactyla; Equidae.